This 329-nucleotide ribosomal RNA is filed under the name uncultured eukaryote. RNAcentral's name for it is "partial 18S ribosomal RNA". It matches the Rfam family "Eukaryotic small subunit ribosomal RNA", at positions 1470 to 1796 of the family's 1831-position model. The record is from RNAcentral.
CCCUUAGAUGUUCUGGGCCGCACGCGCGCUACACUGAUGCAUUCAACGAGUCUAAAACCUGCCCUGAUAGGGGUGGGUAAUCUUUUGAAUGUGCAUCGUGAUUGGGAUAGAUGAUUGCAAUUUUUCAUCUUCAACGAGGAAUGCCUAGUAAACGCAAGUCAUCAGCUUGCAUUGAUUACGUCCCUGCCCUUUGUACACACCGCCCGUCGCUCCUACCGAUUGAAUGAUCCGAUGAAUAUCAUGGAUUGAGGAUGCAAGUAGGUUAGCCUAUCUUCAUCUUCGAGAAGUGAAGUAAAUCUUAUCAUUUAGAGGAAGGAGAAGUCGUAACA